Molecule: ribosomal RNA, 253 nt
Filed under: uncultured bacterium
Lineage: Bacteria
Description: partial 16S ribosomal RNA
Rfam family: Bacterial small subunit ribosomal RNA
Source: RNAcentral
UACGUAGGGUGCAAGCGUUGUCCGGAAUUAUUGGGCGGAAAGAGCUCGUAGGCGGUCUGUCACGUCGGCUGUGAAAACCCGGGGCUCAACCCCGGGCCUGCAGUCGAUACGGGCAGACUAGAGUGCGGUAGGGGAGACUGGAAUUCCUGGUGUAGCGGUGAAAUGCGCAGAUAUCAGGAGGAACACCGGUGGCGAAGGCGGGUCUCUGGGCCGUAACUGACGCUGAGGAGCGAAAGCGUGGGGAGCGAACAGG